Molecule: ribosomal RNA, 1454 nt
Filed under: uncultured bacterium
Lineage: Bacteria
Description: 16S ribosomal RNA
Rfam family: Bacterial small subunit ribosomal RNA
Source: RNAcentral
CUGGCGGCGUUCUUAACACAUGCAAGUACAGGGGGUCCGGGGGCAACUUCGGAUAACCGGCGAACGGGUGCGUAACACGUGAACAACCUGCCCUCGUGUGGGGGAUAGCCGGGCUAACGCCCGGGUAAUACCGCAUACGUUCUUUUCAGGGAGUCCUGGGAAGAGGAAAGCUCCGGCGCACGGGGAGGGGUUUGUGGCCUAUCAGCUCGUUGGCGGGGGUAACGGCCCACCAAGGCGACGACGGGUAGCUUGGUCUGAGAGGAUGGCCAGCCACAUUGGGACUGAGAGACGGCCCAGACUCCUACGGGAGGCAGCAGUGGGGAAUCUUGCGCAAUGGUCGAACGACUGACGCAGCGACGCCGCGUGUGGGAGGACGCCUUUCGGGGUGUAAACCACUGUUGCCCGGGACGAACACACUUUUUCGAGUGUGCUGACGGUACCGGGUGAGGAAGCACCGGCUAACUCCGUGCCAGCAGCCGCGGUAAUACGGAGGGUGCGAGCGUUGUCCGGAAUCAUUGGGCGUAAAGGGCGCGUAGGUGGGCCGGGUCAGUCUUUGGUGAAAGCGCGGGGCUCAACCCUGCGUCGGCCAGGGAUACUCGCCGCGGCUCGAGCACUUGUAGAGGCAGGCGGAAUUCCGGGUGUAGCGGUGGGAAUGCGUAGAGAUCCGGAAGAACACCGGUGGCGAAGGCGGCCUGCUGGGCAGUAUGGCUGACACUGAGGCGCGACAGCGUGGGGAGCAAACAGGAUUAGAUACCCUGGUAGUCCACGCCGUAAACGAUUGGGCACUAGGGCGCUUGGGGGGAGCGACCCCCCCGAGGGCCGGCGCUAACGCAUUAAAGUGCCCCCCUGGGGAAGUACCGGCCCCAAGGCUUAAAACUUAAAAGAAUUUGACGGGGGGCCCCAACAAGCGGGUGGGAGCAUUGUGGUUUAAUUCGACCGAACGCGGAAAGACCUUACCUAGGCUUGACAUACACGGGAAACCCCUCGAGAAACCGGGGGCCCUCUUCGGAGCCCGUGCACAGGUGUUGCAUGGCCUGUCGUCAGCUCGUGUCGUAGAUGUUGGGUUAAGUCCCGCAACGAGCGCAACCCCUGUCUCUAGUUGCCAGCGCGUCAUGACGGGGACUCUAGAGAGACUGCCGGUGCCAAACCGGAGGAAGGUGGGGAUGACGUCAAGUCAUCAUGGUCCUUACGUCUAGGGCUACACACGUGCUACAAUGGCGGGGACAGAGGGCUGCGAGCCGGCAACGGCGAGCCAAUCCCGUAAACCCCGCCUCAGUUCGGAUUGUCGUCUGCAACCCGACGGCAUGAAGCUGGAAUCGCUAGUAAUCGUGGAUCAGCUACGCCACGGUGAAUACGUUCCCGGGCCUUGUACACACCGCCCGUCACGCCAUGGAAGCUGUGAGCGCCCGAAGUCCGUGUCGGAACCCGCAAGGGGCCAAGCGGCCGAAGGCGAG